RNAcentral lists this ribosomal RNA (468 nucleotides) under uncultured bacterium. RNAcentral's name for it is "partial 16S ribosomal RNA". It matches the Rfam family "Bacterial small subunit ribosomal RNA", at positions 28 to 507 of the family's 1533-position model. The record is from RNAcentral.
GACGAACGCUGGCGGCGUGCUUAACACAUGCAAGUCGAACGGAAAGGCCCUGCUUUUGUGGGGUGCUCGAGUGGCGAACGGGUGAGUAACACGUGAGUAACCUGCCCUUGACUUUGGGAUAACUUCAGGAAACUGGGGCUCAUAUCGGAUAGGAGCUCCUGCUGCAUGGUGGGGGUUGGAAAGUUUCGGCGGUUGGGGAUGGACUCGCGGCUUAUCAGCUUGUUGGUGGGGUAGUUGCUUACCAAGGCUUUGACGGGUAGCCGGCCUGAGAGGGUGACCGGCCACAUUGGGACUGAGAUACGGCCCAGACUCCUACGGGAGGCAGCAGUGGGGAAUAUUGCACAAUGGGCGGAAGCCUGUUGCAGCAGCGCCGCGUGCGGGAUGACGGCCUUCGGGUUGUGAACCGCUGUCGCCUGUGACGAAGCGUGAGUGACGGUAAUGGGUAAAGAAGCACCGGCUAACUACGUG